GAAGAAAGGAAACAAAUGACAAGGCCACCUUUAAGCAACAGGGAAGGAAGAUUGCAGAAGCUAUUGCUGCAAAAUGGGCCGAUCCAGUAAGUUUAUAUCUUAACAUCUCGAGUGUUUGCUAGAUCUUUUGCUCGGUUAGCACACUAUUUGAGAGUCUCAUUAAUUAGUUCUUUGUGAUUGACUUCAAACAAGUUAACACUUUUCUUACAAAUAAUUUUAAUGUCCUGCCUACUUAAUUUGAUGUUUUCGAUACUCAACAUUGUCCCUCCCAUGAUUAACUUCAAAGAGUAACUGGAUUCUUAUACUUGUAUGUUCAAUCCGUGUUUGAAAUUAUUGAUAGUUUGAUAGAAUCAUCAAUUUUUUCUCUUGCUUUCUGUAGGGCAUAUUUGGUUUCAAAAUUGUUUGCUGUUUUUAUUUUCUGCUCACACCAAUAAUAACAAUAUCAUAAGUAUUAAUGUUUUCUUAUUAUUCCUGCUUUCAAGUUUUACUACUUCCUAUACAAAUUCUGUUUUACCCUUGGUGUUUAAUUUUGGUUCAGAUAUUAUAUCCCACUUGUAAUUGUAAUAAAUAGAGAAAAUUGUUUUCGUAAGCGUAGCUAGACAAACAAGAUGAAGAAUGAUCAAGUUUUGAGUUUCAAAAUGUUUCAUGAUUGUUUCAGUCUCCGUGAGUUUGAGGUGAAGUGAGAAAGUGUGAAGAGGAGACGUGAGAAGAGCUUAGAUUCGACGUUUUGA
This 731-nucleotide long non-coding RNA is filed under the name Trifolium pratense (red clover). RNAcentral describes it as "long non-coding RNA (TPRA_LNC008451)". The record is from RNAcentral. Lineage: Eukaryota; Viridiplantae; Streptophyta; Magnoliopsida; Fabales; Fabaceae.